AUCGAUCGUGCAACGAGUGGUGAUGCGUACAUACAUGAAUCGUGAACUCAUGUUCUAGUCAUCCUGACAGACUUCCUCUGUAUUUUACGGCACUCGCCGAAUAGCAUGACCGAGCUAUUCGCUGGAUGGAUUGAUGGAUGUUCUUCUGAUUCGUUAUAAUCUUGUGUUAUCAAGGCAAGAUCUAAAUGUGUAAGUAACUGUGAACAUCCUUGACGCUACCUGAUCAGUAAUGCCACGCUAACUACGUGCCAGCAUGCCGCGGUAAUACGUAGGUGGCAAGCGUUAUCCUGGAAUUAUUGGGCGUAAAGCGCGCGUAGGCGGUUUUUUUAAGUCUGAUGUGAAAGCCCACGGCUCAACCGUGGAGGGUCAUUCGAAACUGGAAAACUCGAGUGCAGAAGAGGAAAGUGGAAUUCCAUGUGUAGCGGUGAAAUGCGCAGAGAUAUGGAGGAACACCAGUGGCGAAGGCGACUUUCUGGUCUGUAACUGACGCUGAUGUGCGAAAGCGUGGGGAUCAAACAGGAUUAGAUACCCUGGUAGUCCACGCCGUAAACGAUGAGUGCUAAGUGUUAGGGGGUUUCCGCCCCUUAGUGCUGCAGCUAACGCAUUAAGCACUCCGCCUGGGGAGUACGACCGCAAGGUUGAAACUCAAAGGAAUUGACGGGGACCCGCACAAGCGGUGGAGCAUGUGGUUUAAUUCGAAGCAACGCGAAGAACCUUACCAAAUCUUGACAUCCUUUGACCGCUCUAGAGAUAGAGUCUUCCCCUUCGGGGGACAAAGUGACAGGUGGUGCAUGGUUGUCGUCAGCUCGUGUCGUGAGAUGUUGGGUUAAGUCCCGCAACGAGCGCAACCCUUAAGCUUAGUUGCCAUCAUUAAGUUGGGCACUCUAAGUUGACUGCCGGUGACAAACCGGAGGAAGGUGGGGAUGACGUCAAAUCAUCAUGCCCCUUAUGAUUUGGGCUACACACGUGCUACAAUGGACAAUACAAAGGGCAGCUAAACCGCGAGGUCAAGCAAAUCCCAUAAAGUUGUUCUCAGUUCGGAUUGUAGUCUGCAACUCGACUACAUGAAGCUGGAAUCGCUAGUAAUCGUAGAUCAGCAUGCUACGGUGAAUACGUUCCCGGGUCUUGUACACACCGCCCGUCACACCACGAGAGUUUGUAACACCCGAAGCCGGUGGAGUAACCAUUUAUGGAGCUAGCCGUCGAAGGUGGGACAAAUGAUUGGGGUGAAGUCGUAACAAGAGACGACCCC
Molecule: ribosomal RNA, 1252 nt
Filed under: Staphylococcus sp.
Lineage: Bacteria; Bacillati; Bacillota; Bacilli; Caryophanales; Staphylococcaceae
Description: bacterial SSU rRNA
Rfam family: Bacterial small subunit ribosomal RNA
Source: RNAcentral